Asterias rubens (European starfish) is the source of this 3976-nucleotide long non-coding RNA. RefSeq lists it as uncharacterized. NCBI's taxonomy places the organism in Eukaryota, Metazoa, Echinodermata, Asteroidea, Forcipulatida, Asteriidae. The transcript is spliced from 5 exons. The record is from RefSeq and is a predicted model, not a curated record.
GACUGGCAGCAUGCCGUAUCUCUCGGCUCUUUGGACGUCGCGUUUUCUUGAUGAACUGAACUUUAGGCAUGGUAAAUUGUAUCCACAAAUAUUUACCAUGGCCAAUAAAUGUGCAUUCAGAAACAUUUUAGCAUUAUAACUGUUGCACUUUACAUAACUUUUGACAUUAUUUUGUUGAGGCUUCGCCGUGGCCGAUAUUUCUUCAAGAAAGAUGAACCAUGUGCAUUUUUGUCACAUGGCAGGCUGGCCACAAAGGUCGUACAAGAAACUGCAAUGAAUUCAGAAGAACAUUCGAUGUCGAACCCUUUAUUUCAUUUACAAUAACUCGUCGUGAGUUCCAAUACAUUUUUGACGACUAUAAUGCAAGUUUCAACUUCGGAGUUGAGCUUGCGAGUGAGCUCCUGACCAGCCAAAAGUCCAGCCACAUUUUUGAACUGUUUCCUGAGUUGCAGAAAGAGAAAACAUCUUUGUGCUGGUGACCCCAAUGUGCCUGUCCAGAUGGGUGAUGUAAAUCUAUGGAUAUGUGGUUUGUGGACGAAUUUGGAGGUUCACCAAAGGACCAAGGUAAAAAAACUUUGCCAGAAAUCCGACCUCCACUUUUAAAGUUCGCAUAUAAUAUGCGACUUACCUUUUGAAUAAAAUUUUGGACUUAUUUUCCCCGACCCCUUGGCAGUAUAACAUAACAACCUAGUAAGUUUUGCAAGACACCCUUUUUCAAUUUUUACUGCUGUAUCUACAAAUACAAAUCUUAAAUAACCUGGCUGUUAAAAAACCCAGACCCCCACCCCGAAAAUAAAAUAAAUAUAGAAUAAAAACAAUAGUCAAUAAAUAAUUUCUUUUGAAAAAUCCCCCACCCCCCAAAAAACACAACAAAAAAGACAAAACUGUCGUACCUAUUGACCUUUCUAUAAAAAAAACGCCCAAAACAGAAACACCCAAAACUAUUGUGUAAUAGUGGAGGUCGGAUAGUGCAAGUUAAACCCUCAAGAUGAAGAUCAAGACAAGAUGAAGACUGCAAAGAGUAAGAGGAGAUCUAACCCGUUCUCUUACAGAGUCCCACCCCUUGUACCGCCCCUUCCCCAAUCAAUGUUCUUCAAUCUUGUUGAUGUUGUCCUUACUUGUCUAUCUUUCAUGGUGACUCUAAGCUGUCUCUGCAUUUCUUGAGUUGCAUAUUGGUCGAAGCCAGUGAUGCUUUUUAAUUAGGAGACUAGUCUUACUGGAAAUUUCUGUUGGUGUUGAUUCUUCAAGUCGUCAGUUGUCAUGUUUAUUCAAAUUGUCAUGAUUUAGAAAACAAUUUUUUUUCUUAAACUUUAUAAACAUAAGGGUAAAUUAAAACUGUACCAUAGUAAAUUAACACAAAAAUUAAACUAAUUGUAACCACUAUAAAUGUUUUAGUAGUAGUUGUGCAAAUAAUGAGGAGUGUUCGAUCAUUAGGAAUUGUAAAUAAAUCAUUUGACCAGCUAUAUGAAUAUUUACACUUUCUGAUAUCAUCAUUACUCUGACUUCCGAUUUUAAGCAAUAUUGUAAAAUUAAGUAUUUGGUUACUGAAAAUAAUAGAGAAAAGAAGAACAAAUAAAACCCUAAAGCAAUAAUAACCACCCCAAAUGUUUAAGAAAUAAUUAUGCAGAUCAAUAAUAAGUCCAGUCCAAUCAACAUUCAUUCUGAUGAGGAAUGUUAGAUUUAGGAGUAUUGUAAAUAAUAUUAUUUAGUCCAUGCUAAAUGAAUAUUUACAUGUUCCUAAUAUCAGCAUUACUUUCACUUAUGAAUUUAAUCAUUUGAAAAAUAGUAAAAAAAAAUUAUAGUCCAGCACGAGCUUUAAAAAAAAUUGAAGUCCCGAAAUUAAAAUAUUUUAUAUUAGGGCCUAACUUAUCAAACUUCCUUAAAAACACUUAUUCUCGAGCGCUGUGAAAAAAACAAAAUGAAUGCUGUUUAAAGAAGAUAAAAUGAAGACGACGGAAGUCAACGAAACAGAGCAGAUCAUCCAUGGGGAGCAUGCAUGAAGGGGAGAUGUCAGGAACGCUUUAGGUAAGUAUGAAUAGUAAGACAGUAAGGGGAUAAUAGUGUUGGCCUAGAAAUAAGACUAACUCUCUACUCUUUCAGCAGGUUUGACAAUUGUAAGUAUAUGUUGUCUUGAGCAAAGAACUGAGCUGUGAGUAAACGAUGAUGAAGACUCUCCCUUUGAUGUCACUGAUGAGUGACUGGAGGCUGUUCAUCAAAGGUUAAGUAUGAGGUAAAUGUAUCGGGGUAAAUUAGUCUAGCCAAACUUUUCCCCACCACAUCUAACCAAUAAUUUCCGAACAAAUUAUUGCUCAACAGUGCUAACCAAUUUUCUCAACAGCGAGCUAACCAAUUUUUUCAACACCCUAUAACCAUUAAAUGGUUAGGCUGUUGAGAAAAUUGGUUAGCUCGCUGUUUUUCUCCGUAGCCUAACCUAGCCUCGACAUAGGCUAUACUCUUUUUUGUUUCCACAGUUUGUAACCGGUUCUUGGCGAAGUGGAUGCCUUGUGGCAGGACUGGUGCUUGUGCUUAGAAACACAGAAAUUGCUGAAGCUACCUUGAUGUCUCCGAUGCCUGACCCAAGGUCAGCGGGGUCAAUGAGAUCCUGCAUGUUCUUACUUGAAGGAUGAGAUGAUGAAGGAAGUUGUGUUCUGGAAUCUUGACUGAGCUGAGGCUGCUACAAGCAGGGACUGUUGUCAUGAACGGUUUGAAUAUGUAUCGGGUUUUACCAAUGAGCAUGGAGGUAGAAAUAGACUAUUUCUACCUCCAUGCCAUGAGUUACAAGUGAUUAAAGACUGGUUCAUACUUCCUGUGAAUGCUAAGCAAAUUUUGGUGUUACAUGGCUUUUUGACGCGAAUGUUUCGCAGGAGUUGAACAAAGUUCAACUGUUGCGAAUUUAUGUUGAGAUUCGUAUCACAUUUGCAUUCGCAAGAAGUAUGAACCGGGCUUUACUGGGGAAAAAUUGCCUACUAAAUGUAUCAACAACUCAAUCAAGAAACUUGGAGGAUGAUGGACAUCAGCAUCAGUUUAUCAACAAAUUUGGAAGAAACAAAUUGUGUCAAAUUAGAUUUGGUUCUCAAACAAAUCUCUAAAAGCUGCUGAAAAGACAAUUUUAAGCAGCAGUUGAAAUACUUUCAUUUAAAGUUUUACAACAAUCAUCAACGAAGAGCUAACCACCGAGGAUAACUUACGAACCAGUUAACUUGAUUUAACAAAAGUGUAGUAUUGUAACAAUCCAAACAAGUUAAAAUUCUUCCUGAAACAUAAUAAUCGACUCUCAAUGAAGCUUAUUAGUAAUAUGUUAAUGCAUGGAGAUAAUUUUGUCUGUUAAAUUUUUCCUCAGUUGAGUGGGGGACUACAACUAUUGUUUGGCUGAGCGUCGUUGGAAGAUACAGAGAGUAUGGUGACUACAGCUGGACCUUUUGAAUGAGCAUCACGAGAGGAUACAGAUUGAGACGAUUGACUUUGAGAUGACAUUCCCGCAAACUCAGAGGGCUAAUCAAUAUUUGUGGGGUGUUCUGUACCACCAGCUGUUUGGACCCACCAGCUAGAGGACAACACCUUUUCAAGACUGAGACGAUGAACUUAGAGAUGGCAUUUACCCACCCUUGAGGCUAAUCAACGCUUUUUUGGACUGUGUGCCGCCAGCUUCUUCAAGUCUAGCUAGCUGACUCUAUACUACAGUUCAACCCUUCAUGAGACCUUUUGAUGUUGAGGCUAACCGAUGCUUUCUGAUCAGUACAAAGAGUCAACAACACACUGCUUGACUGACAUGAUGUUCAGGGAGAUGAAAUACACCCAAUCUUGAGACUAAUCGAUGCUUUUUGGAAUGUGAUGAGCCAACAGCUGAUGAAAGACUGGUUUAAUUUCAGCAAGACGACUCUAUGCUACACGUUCAACUGUUCAUCAAGUGACGUUUGGACUAUGGAUGUUGAGGCUUACCGACGCAUUUUGGACAGAUGUAGAGUCAACAACAGGA